Molecule: long non-coding RNA, 980 nt
Organism: Thamnophis elegans (Western terrestrial garter snake)
Lineage: Eukaryota; Metazoa; Chordata; Lepidosauria; Squamata; Natricidae
Exons: 5
Source: RefSeq, a predicted model, not a curated record
CUGGCUGCCCGAGCAGAACCCUCAAUGCCCGGGGCAGAACAGAUACUGCUUCCCCCUCCUCCCCCAUUGAGGCCGGUCAUGGAUAGUUGUCUCUUCUGAUCAAAGCACAUAAUCUAUAUUUGUCAAUUCAGCAAUGUCUGUGCAUUUUGGAUGAAAAUCAUUCACGGAACACUGAGGAACAGUGGAUAUCAGAUCAUUCUGAGUUCUUCCGUAUGACGAGGCUUAAAUAAGUAAUGCUUAUUCACUGGGGAAACACAAACAAUGAAUUUUAAUGAUUACACUAAUAAGAUACACAUACCAAAUUGACUUCAACUGUUUGAGUUCCAAGUCAAUUGUCAAGCUCAUAUGAACUGAGACCUCUGCAGAGAGUGUGGGGAAGGGAGAAUGACAGGCACCAGCUCCCAUCCCUUCCAACCAUCUAAAAUCCAAGUGACAAAGAGCUCCCAUAUUGAGGACUUCCAGCUAUUAACAGCUGUUUGUUGACAUUUUGACCUUCAAAUUCUGUUAACCACUGAGAGUAGAAUAAUCCACGAUACUAUCAGUCAUUCCAUUUUUAUAAUAUAACAUUUAUAAUGAGUCCAGGCAUGUUUUCCAACUGAUUUAGUGGCAAGAACAUUUGAUAUCAGAUAAAGCAAUGCAUUAUUUUUCCUGGACAUCUGUUGUUCCUGGACAUCUGCAACACUCAUGUGAGAGGGGCAAUGAAGACGAUCCCAGCUUUGGGGAAGGUUGGCCAUGGUAUCAACUCGGAAUGACAGCAGGAUGUCCUGAUGCAUUGUGUCUACAGAGAUUCUCAGUCAUUCAGGAGUUUUGGAAUCACAUAGCAUCAGCAACUCAAACAUAAAGAUGAAAGUAUUUACUCUUAUGAAUGAUGUGCUGAGGAUGAUCAAGACCGUAGGGGUGCAGCGGUUAUAAUGCAGUAUUGCAGACUAAUUCAGUUCACUGCCAGGAUGUUGAUUCUCACCAGCUCAAGGUUGACUCAG